UCCGGAAUUUAUUGGGCGUACAGGGUGCGUAGGCGGUUGUGUAAGUUUGAGGUUAAAUCCCGGAGCUCAACUCCGGUCCGCCUUGAAAACUACAUGACUAGAAUACAAGAGAGGUAAAUGGAAUUCCAUGUGUAGCGGUAAAAUGCGUAGAUAUAUGGAAGAACACCUGUGGCGAAAGCGGUUUACCAGCUUGUUAUUGACGCUGAGGCACGAAAGCGUGGGGAGCAAAUAGGAUUAGAUACCCUAGUAGUCCACGCCGUAAACGUUGAGUACUAGGUGUCGGGAAUUAUCUCGGCGCCGCAGCUAACGCAUUAAGUACUCCGCCUGAGUAGUAUGCACGCAAGUGUGAAACUCAAAGGAAUUGACGGGGACCCGCACAAGUGGUGGAGCAUGUGGUUUAAUUCGAAGCAACACGAAGAACCUUACCAGGGCUUGACAUCCAGUGCAAAGGCAUAGAGAUAUGCUGGAGGCUAACAUUGAGACAGGUGGUGCAUGGUUGUCGUCAGUUCGUGCCGUGAGGUGUUUGGUUAAGUCCAGCAACGAACGCAACCCUUGUCAUUAGUUACUAACAUUUAGUUGAGGACUCUAAUGAGACUGCUAGUGUAAGCUAGAGGAAGGUGGGGAUGACGUCAAAUCAUCAUGCCCCUUAUGUCCUGGGCUACACACGUGCUACAAUGGCUGAUACAAAGAGUCGCAAUCUCGCAAGGAGGAGCUAAUCUCAUAAAAUCAGUCUCAGUUCGGAUUGAAGGCUGCAACUCGCCUUCAUGAAGCCGGAAUCACUAGUAAUCGCGAAUCAGCUAUGUCGCGGUGAAUACGUUCUCGGGUCUUGUACACACCGCCCGUCACACCAUGAGAGUUGGUAACACCAGAAGCAGGUA
RNAcentral lists this ribosomal RNA (878 nucleotides) under uncultured Mesoplasma sp. RNAcentral describes it as "bacterial SSU rRNA". It matches the Rfam family "Bacterial small subunit ribosomal RNA", at positions 543 to 1432 of the family's 1533-position model. The record is from RNAcentral. Lineage: Bacteria; Bacillati; Mycoplasmatota; Mollicutes; Entomoplasmatales; Entomoplasmataceae.